UUGCAAUGAUGAGAGCUCAAUAUUAACGAAAGUAAAUGUACUUGAUGUGAAGUCAAUGUUGUGCGAUCUGAGCGGUUACCUAAGCAA
Papaver somniferum (opium poppy) is the source of this 87-nucleotide small nucleolar RNA. RefSeq annotates it as small nucleolar RNA snoR128. Lineage: Eukaryota; Viridiplantae; Streptophyta; Magnoliopsida; Ranunculales; Papaveraceae. The record is from RefSeq and is a predicted model, not a curated record. The transcript has a single exon.